Molecule: ribosomal RNA, 544 nt
Filed under: uncultured fungus
Lineage: Eukaryota; Fungi
Description: eukaryotic LSU rRNA
Rfam family: 5.8S ribosomal RNA (bases 186-339)
Source: RNAcentral
CGUAACAAGGUUUCCGUAGGUGAACCUGCGGAAGGAUCAUUACCUAGAGUUUGUAGACUUCGGUCUGCUACCUCUUACCCAUGUCUUUUGAGUACCUUCGUUUCCUCGGCGGGUCCGCCCGCCGAUUGGACAACAUUCAAACCCUUUGCAGUUGCAAUCAGCGUCUGAAAAAACAUAAUAGUUACAACUUUCAACAACGGAUCUCUUGGUUCUGGCAUCGAUGAAGAACGCAGCGAAAUGCGAUAAGUAGUGUGAAUUGCAGAAUUCAGUGAAUCAUCGAAUCUUUGAACGCACAUUGCGCCCCUUGGUAUUCCAUGGGGCAUGCCUGUUCGAGCGUCAUUUGUACCUUCAAGCUCUGCUUGGUGUUGGGUGUUUGUCUCGCCUCUGCGUGUAGACUCGCCUUAAAACAAUUGGCAGCCGGCGUAUUGAUUUCGGAGCGCAGUACAUCUCGCGCUUUGCACUCAUAACGACGACGUCCAAAAGUACAUUUUUACACUCUUGACCUCGGAUCGGGUAGGGAUACCCGCUGAACUUAAGCAUAUCA